This 250-nucleotide ribosomal RNA is filed under the name uncultured Streptococcus sp. RNAcentral describes it as "partial 16S ribosomal RNA". It matches the Rfam family "Bacterial small subunit ribosomal RNA", at positions 1133 to 1382 of the family's 1533-position model. Lineage: Bacteria; Bacillati; Bacillota; Bacilli; Lactobacillales; Streptococcaceae. The record is from RNAcentral.
GGGCACUCUAGCGAGACUGCGGUAAUAACCGGAGGAAGUGGGGAUGACGUCAAAUCAUCAUGCCCCUUAUGACCUGGGCUACAACACGUGCUAACAAUGGUUGGUAACAACGAGUUGCGAGUCGGUGACGGCGAGCUAAUCUCUUAAAGCCAAUCUCAGUUCGGAUUGUAGGCUGCAACUCGCCUACAUGAAGUCGGAAUCGCUAGUAAUCGCGGAUCAGCACGCCGCGGUGAAUACGUUCCCGGGCCUU